UCAGGAGGCCGGGUGGCCGCUGCCGCGUUGCGGCAGAGGAAAGUCCGGGCUCCACCGGGCAGGGUGCCGGGUAACACCCGGGCGUCGCGAGACGACGGAAAGUGCCACAGAAACAUACCGCCCCUCGGGGUAAGGGUGCAAUGGUGCGGUAAGAGCGCACCGUCGUGCUGGUGACAGCACGGUUCGGGCAAACCCCACCUGGAGCAAGGCCGAAUAGGAGGGCCCCCGCCACGGCGGGGAAGGGCGCCCGGCCCUCGACCCUCGGGUUGGCCGCGUGACCCGGCCGGUAACGGACGGGCUAGAUGGAUGGCCACCGGCCCACCCUGGUGGGCUACAGAACCCGGCUUACAGGCCUGCUGAACCC
RNAcentral lists this RNase P RNA (364 nucleotides) under Dehalococcoidia bacterium. RNAcentral's name for it is "Bacterial RNase P class A". It matches the Rfam family "Bacterial RNase P class A". Rfam says of the family: Ribonuclease P (RNase P) is a ubiquitous endoribonuclease, found in archaea, bacteria and eukarya as well as chloroplasts and mitochondria. Its best characterised activity is the generation of mature 5'-ends of tRNAs by cleaving the 5'-leader elements of precursor-tRNAs. Lineage: Bacteria; Bacillati; Chloroflexota; Dehalococcoidia. The record is from Rfam by way of RNAcentral.